RNAcentral lists this ribosomal RNA (441 nucleotides) under Percnon affine. RNAcentral's name for it is "partial 12S small subunit ribosomal RNA". The record is from RNAcentral. Lineage: Eukaryota; Metazoa; Arthropoda; Malacostraca; Decapoda; Plagusiidae.
AAAGGUAAAAUUGAGUUAUUACUUUGUAAAAUAAUACCUAAGUUGAAGCUAAAAUAACUUAAAUAUAAACUAGGAUUAGAUACCCUAUUAUUCUAAGAUUAAAGGAUUAUGCUAUUGAUCAGUAGUAGUUAUAUACUUAAAAAUUAAAAGAUUUGGCGGUAAUUUAAUCUUUUCAGAGGAACUUGUUUUUUAAUCGAUAAUCCACGAAUAAUCUUACUCGAGUUUGUAUACCAUCAUUAUCAGGUAAUUUUUAGAGAAAUUUACUUAAUAGAGUAAGUUAAAAAAAUUAGAUCAAGGUGCAGCUAAUAAGCGAGGUAAAAUGAGUUACAAUAAAUUAUUUUAUAUGAAGUAUUAAAUAUGAAGGAGGAUUUGAUUGUAUAGGAAUUUAAUAAGUUAUUAUGAUAUUAGCUCUAAGUUAUGUACAUAUCGCCCGUCGCUUUC